UUCGUUGCGAAUGCAUGCGUAGCACCUGUUUCUUAUUUCGACCGUAGUUGUUCGCAUUCGGAUUUCUCCUUUGAUCACAUCAAACGCCGCCAAUAUCCGCUGGGACAAAUCUUCUGGUGAUUCUACUUCCGUUGCGUAGACGAGUUCCUUUGCCCGUCCCCAGAUGUGAAAGUCCAAGGGAGUUAGGUCCGGGGACCGUGGGGGCCAUGGAAUGGGGCCGUCUCUUCCAAUCCAUGAAUUAGGGAAAGCGUUGUCUAGGUGCUCCCUGACUGUUAUCCUCCAGUGUGCGGCAUCCAUCUUGUUGAAAAACGAUACGCCUAUCUUCAUUGAAAUGAGGUACAUCAGCUAGUAAUUCAGGUAGAUCAUGUUGUAAAAAAUGAAGGUAGUUGUCUCCAUUCAAAUUAUCGGGUAGGAAGUGUGGCCCAACCACUUGAUCGCCAAUAACUCCCGCCCAUACAUUGAAGCCGUAUCUUCUCUGGAAACCUCUAGCUCUUUUCACGUGUGGAUUUUCAUUUAUCGGCGACCAGUGGUGCAGGUUGUGUAAAUUCAGUAUCCCCUCUCGUGUAAAUUUGGACUCGUCUGUCCAAAGAAUGCUUCUUAAAAAGUCACGGUCCUCUAAAUCCGUGUGCAGCAAUAAACGACAAAACCGGACACGAUUUCCAAAGUCGUUAUCUUCAAGACCUGCAAAGAAAGAAAGACAAAUAAGAAUCUGACAAGGUUUGUGAAAUGGAAUGUGGGGUAAUUAGGUACAUACACGAUAACGUAAAGGACACAGUGACGUUACGUUUCGAAGUCAAUAACAGCAAAAGAAACGCGAAAAGCUGAGGUUCAGUUCUCUAGUCAAUUGGUAUGGAUUAAAAGUAAUUCUAGCGUUUAAUACCUUGGACUGGAGUGUAGUGAAAUGCGUGCAUGUUGUUUUGGCGAAGAACUUUCCACACCUUCCAGAUUGAAAUUUCCAGUUGUCCAGCUACAUCUCUGAUGCUCUUAUUCGGGUCUUCUUCCAUUAUGGCUAAGAUCCUUUCAUCAACUGCAACAUUGUGUCGAACCACAAUUCCUCGGUUCAUUUACGUUCAAAUUACCAGUUUCCCUUAAGCGUCGGUAAGUGUUUUGAAACGUAUUGCGGUUUGGUAAGCGUCUAUUGGGGAAUCGUUCCUGGUAGAUUCUUUGCGCUGCUCGUGCUACACCAUCAGCUUUACCGUACGCCAUCAACAUGUCCGCAUACUCUUCAUUCGUAAAGGCAGCCAUUUUUGAAAGAUCAAAACUCAACAAAACAGAGAUUAACAAAAACAACAGAAAACUAACAAAAAAACAACAGUACUAAGAUCGCAAAUGCUUCAACCACAAGAGAAUGUCGUGAUUUGACUGUCUCUUGUGGUCCACAAGAGACAGUCAAAUCACGACUAAUGUCUAAUUGAUACCACCACCACCCCCCAGGUUCAUCUUUGCUGGGUUCUUGGGUUAAACGUCGAGUAAAAGAGAGAGACAACUGCACUUAAUUGUGCUCUGUAAGAGAGAUAGCAGUCUUUACCUGCUUCGCACGUGUUGUUUUCAUGAUUUUUUCCUUAUCUUAUCAUGCCUAAUCGCUUACGCUCAAAUUUGUGAAAGUUGACCUUGAAGUCCAAAUUUACGAAAGAUAAGUUUCAAAUCUUUACAACCUGUAGAUCAACCUGUGUGUUGAAAGAAAAUGGGGACUUCAAAGCUGUCAGCAAAAGGGAACAGUGUCAAUGUUUGAAUCUCGAUAACUUUACCGUUGCGUUCGUUACUAAAUCGUGAAAAAAAUGAAGUUUAUGAAAGGUUUUUUUAAGAUAAUUGUACAUCGUUAAAACAGUGUCAAGACCGAUGUCUGUUUAAUUUUUUUUUUCAUUGCAAAUCAAAGUUGACUUUAGACUAAAUUUUUACACGUUGUAAACAUUUGAGGGCCAAUAAAUAAAAAAUUAGACGUUACGUGUCAGUAAAUUUGAUAUUAUUCGAGCCGUGCAACGUUAGAGAUUACGAUGCAGUAAAAAUUGCAUCUCUUUAUCACUUACUUAUUUUUUUAAUCAAGUUUAAGCAUAUCGGCCCUGAAGAUUUUUCAUAAAUUACAAGAAAAACGAAAAAAAAUUAUACGUGGACCCAAGAAUUUUUUAGAGGGCGUAAGGUGAUAGAAAAUAACCCCAGCAAUCCGCCAAUUUUUUUUGGCUAACGAUGCACCAAACACCCUGUAUAAAAAGUUUAUAUUUCUAUGAAAGGCGAUUUUCAGCCCGCCUAUUUUUAUAGUGCACGACUGCCCGUGGUUAUUUAGUUCGUACUUACGUCAAAACAAAAUGGAAAAAAUAAUAAAGACAAUUGUCGCAAAUUAAUAUCUUUAUACGCAGCUAACAGAUGUUUGUGAGAUCCCAACUAUACAAACAGGGGAAUUAGGGAGGAUUCAUGACAAUAUUAGUCAGGAAAUGAGUUUGUCGGCUAAGAGUUUAAAGAAGAAAAUGGAUUCAUUACUAGGAUCGCACAGACCGCAUUGUAAAGAAGUUUAAAGGGUGAUUUAUUUACAUAAAGGAAUCUACAGAUGCGACAAAAGAGACUGAUUGUGUGAAUGUUUCUAAAGUGAACUUACACGGAAACGAAUGUUCAAACGUCACAUUUUAAAAAUGUGCAUGGUUGAUUGAAAGAUCUGUAACAAGGAAACAUUUCAAUGUAGAAACUCAGAAUCUAAUUGAGAUAAAAUAUUUUUUUUUUUCGAAGCCAUUUUUUACUGCCGCUACAGUUGAAAAACAGGAAGGAAACAAGUUCCGAAUCUUGCACUCACAUCAUGCUUCCGAUUUAGAAUGUAAAACAUUAAAUGUUUAUCUUCGUAUGCAAAACAUCGUCUAUAUUAGACUGCAUGCACGCAGGUCUGAGCAAAGUUGCUUAAAGACAGAUUUGUUAAACCGAAAUUGUUGAAUAAACGGCGUCUUCUACUCCGCGAAACUUCUGCGUUGUGAGCCGCCCACAAUAAUUUUAAGUAUGCAUUUUACAACUGCUAUACGGCCUCUUUCUGUGCUUCGAUAAGUUAUCUGUAACGGGAUAGCUCACGCUACGUAUCGAUACCUACGAGACGACAAAGAUUUGUUAUCGCUUGUCAAAAGCGUCACUUACAAUCUUUAUGUCUCUGAAAAAAGCAUUUAUUUUAUUUUAUUAUACAAACUUCAACUAGUAUAUCUCUACAUUAUGCUACAAUCUAACUAAAGCCUGACCUGACACUGCCCGUGAUAAUUGCGAGAGAUUUUAACAGUAUAUUCCAGCAUUGUAGUAGGUAACUUUAAGAAGCAACUUAACACGGAAAUCAAUCUCAUGAAUAAUAAAAAGGCUAGCUGGCUUUCUUGUUCCCUAUUAGUACCAGUAAGGAACGGCCAGUAGUAAAGGCUACAUGCAAUAAAAAUGUUACAGAAACUUAAUGUACAAAAUUCACAAAGAAAGCCGUUGAAUGAGAGUUUUGCUUAAAAAUGUUGAUCUAGUUGAAUUAAUCAAAAGAGGUUGGACAUUUCCAUUGAGAGAGCGCGCUGCGUAGAAAAAUAGGCUUAGGCCUAUGGUGCACCGCGUCAGCAAUAGGCACCGUCUACGUUCUGGCUGAUGUCGGAGCCGUAGGUAGUUAUCCUAUACGAACUAUAAGCCGGGUUAUGUGGUAGACGCCUUAGUCCGCGUCCACAAACGCAAUAGUAAAAAAUAUUUCCCCAAAAGGAAAAACUGCGGACGAAGUGAAAAGCCUCACUAAAGUAUACAUUUCAAAGCAAUGAAAACAAUUAAAAUAAUAAAGCAGACUGACCCGCGACAAAGAGCGGUUUUGAGGCGCCAAUGAAACAUAUUUAAAUAUAAAAUAAAGAACUAUAUUUUGUAACGUAUAUAUUGGGGGAGUUGAUUUAUGAGAAGGUGAAUUUUAAUUUGCAAGAAAUGUUACACUAAAUACUUAAAAAUACUUACUAAACUGAAGCCGGUUAAAUCUCUGGAGAGCAGAGGACCCUUGGUUCAAAGGCCGUCCACUACCGGAUGUAGGUGAAAGGACCCGCUUUUAACAGAAGUAAAACGGGACGUUCAAUCAAUCAAAUCAAUUAUAUUGUAUGUACGCGAACAUGGCAGCCGUCGGUGCUGCAGUAUUUGGGUUAAAAACUAAAACGAACGCAUUUAAAGGGGGCCCCUAAAGUUAACUAAAGAUGCGCGGGCAUUACGCGCAACACGCUCUCGUGGCCACGAGGUAAGAAAGAGUACGACUCACGGUUACGGGGACGAACAACACGCCGUGUUGACGACGAUCCGGGCAAAAAAGAUGACAGCCAACCAAGCAGAGAAGACGUUAGUGCUGCUGUGUGGCGCGCGCAGUGCGAUGCUACGCUCUAUGCACAAGGGCAAGCCGGUGAGGGGGCAUCAGCCGCCAUUGCUCCUCACCCACGCUAGCAAGGACGGCGCAGUCGAAAAAUACUGCGGUGCGGAGGGGACGGCGCUGUGCCGCUGCCUGAACCCGCGCCGCGCGCCGGAGAAACACGCAGAUGCGAUUGCGCUUACCCCGGUCUGUAUGUCUAUCGUCCAGACAAAUGCCUUGAUCACACGUACCGAGUAAACGGGCGAGACAGUAAAAUGUUCCUCGGCCGAGACAGUGAUGUAAGCGAGUAACUGUUCAGACAUGUUUUCAAAUUAGGACAGUCAGUUCAGUUCUAUUGAGAGAUUCGGGCACGAUGGACCGUAAAAAGUUAAUUAGAAAAUAUACAAAGUUACUCAUUCCACUAUUAAUGGAAGAAUUAAAGGAAUUGUUGGAAAACGAGCAGCGCCGGAUUUGGACUAGACCAUGGAUGUUGAGAAGAUCUGAUUUUGGCGCUACGAACACUGUUUUUAAAGAAUUAAGGGUAGAAGAUCCUACUGAAUUUAGAAUGCUUCUGAGAAUGGAUGUAGAACAUUUUGACACAUUGUUAGAAAAUAUUACUCCAUUGAUACAAAAGCAAGAUACUGUCAUGAGAGAAGCUAUACAUGCAAAGACGAAACUACAAGUAGCGUUAUGCUAUUUGGUGACUGGGAUGAGCUACCGUUAUUUGCAGGCUUUUUACAGAGUGUCUCGGGCUGCAAUAUCAUCGUUCAUACCGGAAGUCAUGGAUGCAAUAUUUACUUAUUUGGAGAAUUAUUUAAAGGAAAUUGAUGAUGAUAUGUAUUUUGAGAACUAGCAUAAGUGGUGUCUGAAUGUACAGAAGACGGCCUUUGGUCGCUGCGAUUAGACGAAGAAGAAUGGUAUGCAGUACUUUGUCUAAGUUCUUUAAUCCCAUAAUCGGUCAGUAUAUUCUGUAUUCUGUUUUGUGCUAGUAAAGCAUUCUCUGUCGAUAAAUUCUUAAGUUGCAAUGCAACACUCCUUCCAAAAACAUCAAAUACAGUUUCUUUCUCAGAAUUUACAUCUUCAUUUAACUUUUUUAAAUCAGAAACGGCUUGAAAAAUAUCUCUAGCCCUCUUUUUACCUCUCGCAGUAUUUAUGGUAUUGGUAAUAGUCGCCGAGGCAGUAGUCGUAGUUACAGUUACUGGUACUUGCUGGUGAUCAGAUGUAAUAGCUGGUACUUCCUGGUUGUUGUUUGAGUGUGAGGAGGUAGCAGGGCUAUUGUCCUGAGGACCAGUGUCUUCAUUAGCGGAAUGACUAAUCUGUAAAAUAAAAUGAAUAUAAAUUAUUGUUUCAGGUACCGCAGACCAAUGAAGAAUGGAAAGAAAUAGAAACAGGUUUCAGAACUAGGUGGAAUUUCCCUGGUUGCCAUGGCGCUAUAGACGGGAAGCAUGUGAUAAUUCUAGCACCACCGAAUUGUGGAAGUGAAUAUUUUAAUUACAAGGGUACCAACAGUGUGGUUUUGAUGGCUGUGGUUGAUCAUGACUAUUGUUUUCGCUAUGUAAAUAUUGGAGCAAACGGAAGAAACUCGGAUGGGGGGAUUUUUAAAAACAGCCAAUUACGUAGUGAUCUUGAGAAUAAUUUGCUACCGAAAGGAGGAUUUUUGGUUGGAGAUGAUGCGUUUCCACUAAAAACAUAUUUAUUAAAACCAUAUAGUGGCACAAAUCUUUCAACAAAACAAAAAAUAUUUAACUACAGACUCUCUAGAGCACGAAGAAUUGUCGAAAAUGCGUUUGGCAUUCUGGCAAGCAGGUUUCGAAUUUUUUAAAAGCCCAUACCAACUAGUGACGUAACCACCGAUAAAAUUAUUCUCGCCUCUUGUGCUCUGCAUAAUUGGUUACGUCUCACAAGUCCCGGUAUUUACUUUCCAAAGGGUUGUGUUGAUCAAGAAGAUAUAGAUUCGGGAUCCGUUAUUGUGGGGACUUGGAGACAAGAACUACAAGCUAAUUUGCCAAGUAUCACUAAUCAUAACACCAACAAUGCAGCACGUAUAGCAAGGGAGCUUCGAGAUAAAUACGCAGAGUUCUUCAGUGGGGCAGGUGCCGUUUCGUGGCAAAACAGAAUGAUUUCAUAAUUUUAAGCAAUUUAAUUUCAGAAAUACCUACAUUAUACUUAGCAUAAAAAGUAACAUAAUAAAAAGCACUUACGUUUUCAUAAACUUUUUUCUUUAAAUCCUUUGAAAAGACCUCUUCCAUCUCUUUCAGCCACUUAAUAUUAGAAGUGUACACAUUACUGAGCCCCGCUCCAGAUUUCUUCGAGUCUUGAAUUUUUUUAAUUUCUUGUUGGUAGGUCGAUCUUAAAUUUUUUAUUUUAUUUUUAACUUCUAUCGCACCAAAUCCAGAGAUAUUCAUUUCCUCAACUAUGGACUUAUAUGCUGCAUCCCGUUUUUGUUUUAUCUUGUAUUCCGGAGAUUGAAAGUUCCACAGGCACUGAUGUAGUUUAUAUAAUUGUAUAAAUUUAAUAGUUGUUUCGACAUCCCAUUUGUUAUUAGAAGACAUGGUGUCAUUGUAUUUUAUUAGAUUUUUAGUAGAUUUAAACAACAAUUAUCUAAAUAUAUGGCGCGCGCGGCGAUGUCGCAAUGUGACGACCGAGUGGCGAGACAGUGCGCGUUCAGACCUGCCGAGCGAGCGAGUGAGACAGUGCGGGGAAGCGGGAGGGUGGGCACUCGGCCUAGCAGAUAGAACGUCCACCGAGCUACUGACUCGCCGCUUCGUUCGCCCGAGUGCUCGGCCGAGUACUCGGCGCUAUGUUUAUACGCACCGAGUACUCGGCCGAGAGCACUGUCUCGCCCGUUUACUCGGUACGUGUGAUCAAGGCAAAAAAUCUCUCGCCAUCCGCUGAAAUCCGACCUCUUGACGUUCCGUUAAAUACGCCAACUUUGCCCACUUUUUUGGGAAAAACUAAAAAAAUUCUAGUUUUUUGUAUGAAACCUCGGAAAUAUUUAUGUAUCUGUGGUAACACCGAGAUCAUGCGCAUUUAAAUUUAACUGCAAAUUUAACUUUAGUCAACGUUUUCUCCAUCAUAUGACCGAUUUUGAGGUCGGGUAAAGUUAUCUGGACUUUUAGCCAACAUUGCCCACCGUGAUGUUUAGCGCAACUAUAGACCUUAUUUGGUUGCCAUAAAAACCAAUGAGAGUAUUUUGGCAAUGAAGGCGAUCGGUUCAAAAAUUUACUCGACAUAAUAAUACAUGCUCGAAAUACUUUCCUAUUAAAAUGAGUGGGCAAUGUUAGCCUGUACAUUUUUUCUUCUUCAUACAAACGGCGUGUAGCGAUUUAAAAGUGCUAGGGUUGUCAAAAUUGAGAAGAUAAUAAAAACUGAACAUUAAUUUGCACAAA
This is an RNA transcript of Cydia pomonella (codling moth), 7698 nucleotides long. RefSeq lists it as uncharacterized. The transcript is spliced from 2 exons. The record is from RefSeq and is a predicted model, not a curated record. NCBI's taxonomy places the organism in Eukaryota, Metazoa, Arthropoda, Insecta, Lepidoptera, Tortricidae.